Molecule: long non-coding RNA, 1556 nt
Filed under: Helianthus annuus (common sunflower)
Lineage: Eukaryota; Viridiplantae; Streptophyta; Magnoliopsida; Asterales; Asteraceae
Source: RNAcentral
AAGCUUCUAGAAGGGAGGGGAAGGUUUUUUCACAGUUAUUCUAGAUUCACUUUGACCUGCCCACGAUCUUGUAAACUACGGUUUUCAUCUAUAACCAGUUCGUCUCGAUAAUCAUUCAUAACAGUAAUCACAAUCGGUUGUCCAUCUAAAUCGUCACUUUCAACAUCGAAUCACCAUCUGUUCAACGAAAAAAUGGUGUUGAAACAUAGCGCGUAUCUUUAUCAGGAGUGGCAAAUGCUUCCCAUGACGCUAAAGAAAUUGAAAAACCCUAUGUUUACAGAGAACGACAACAAAAGUCUCAGAUGUGGCCUGACCUUAUAAAAAAAAGCUAAGGAUGGAGGUUUAGAUGUCAUACAAACUUAUGUAUUUUGGAAUGGGCAUGAACCAUCUCCUGGGAAGUACAAUUUUGAGGGGAUAUAUGAUUUGGUGAAGUUCAUAAAACUGGUACAACAAGCAGGACCAGGGGCGGACUUAUAUGGGCUCUAAGGGUAGCCCGUGCUACCCCUCAACUUCGACUCGUGGAAAGCUAGGUUUCUAUUACAAAGAUCAUGAAAUUCUUCCGCCCCUCCCCAGAUUAACGAUCAAUACACCAGGGGAUUUGGCAAUCAUUCUUGGCACCAGUGAUACUGUAAGUUUAAGUGGAUCGGGUAAUGGGUAAAAAGAAGUAAUUUGACCAAAGUUAUAUUGUAAAAAAAAAAAAAAAAACUGACCUGACCCGACCGGAACCGAAACCGUGCUGACCCGGAUCCGUUCCGACCCGGACCCGUUUCGAUCCAAACGAAAUCAACCCUUUUUUAUGAUUGACCCGAACCUGUCUUGACCCGACCGAACCAAUAGGUUAGGAUACUUCUAGAAAGAGCUUAUGCUACAUCAAAGCUUUGGGAUGAUGCAACUCUUGUUCUAUGUGGAUAUUUUAAUUCAACCCAAAGGUAUCUUAUAUUUUAGGUACCUUAAACUUCAAUCGUACUUUAUAUCUCAAAUUCUCAAUAGCUGUUUCUUUCUUUCUUAUGCUGCAGAGUUCACUGUACAACUUCAUAUCCGAGCAAAAGUUAAACAUGUCUGAACUGCCUAGAGAUAAGAUAUCAGGACAAUAUUCUGCUGAAAUUUAUCCCAAAAGACUGGUUUUCUCUAAUUUCAGAAGCAAGUCCAUUGAUAAUGCUACCCAAUCUCCCACAUCAGUUGAUAAUGCUACCCAAUCUCCCACAGCAGUCCUAGAGGUGAAACCCUUGAUGUGAAAAACUCAAUCAUAGGGACCAAUUAGAAUGGUGAUGAGAGACAAGUCAAGGAGCCACCAACUUCACAAGCCAAGCACAACAUGAUUGUCGCCAGCUGCAACCAUUCUCCAAAUUGGAAAAGUUGGGAGUUUAUCACAUCAGGUGGAGAGAAAUUGACACCUAGAAGUGUGCAAUUCAUGUUGAUUAUGAAACAUAUUGUUGAAUGGACCUGUGUCAAUUGUAAGCAGUUGAUUUUGUUUAUAUUCAGAGUUUUUUUUUUCAUGUUACUAUGGCAAAGUAGCCGUCCACCGGAUGAACUGGUACUUUUAUUGGUUGUUUGUA